RNAcentral lists this long non-coding RNA (610 nucleotides) under Ursus maritimus (polar bear). RNAcentral's name for it is "lncRNA (ENSUMAG00000015502.1)". The record is from RNAcentral. Lineage: Eukaryota; Metazoa; Chordata; Mammalia; Carnivora; Ursidae.
CCUAUCUCCUGGCUAUGUAAAUAACUUGAUCUAUUAAAUUUUCAUUAAUUUUUUUAGGAAGAAAGAAGAUAGAUUUCAUGUUAUUGAAUUUGCACGGGAUAUGAAAAAUAUGAAAUUUAGUUGCUGAUUUGGAUGAUGGAACCAAACUCAAAGGAAUUUGAUCAGCUGGUGUCACAUACUUACUAUCUCUCAAGACAAACUGUAAUUGGAAUCUUAUCUACUUUAUCAUGAAGAAUGGAGACUUUGGAAUAUUAAACACAAAAUAUUUCAGGAACAAUUCUUCACGGGUUUUAUUUGUUACUUGGAAUGUUUCAAAUCCUUUUAACAACAUGGCAGGCAUCUUAAGACGAAAAUGUCGUACUUUGCUAUGGGUUUCCAGCUUUUGGAGGAAGAGGUGGGGAUGACUUACAUAAUCCUUCUGGUUCAUAUUUUGUUCAAAUUUAUCAUGUAUCUAAUUUUGGUCACUGAAGAUUCAUCAAACACCUAUUCUAUUUCAAGCUGAGGUUGUUUUUACUUUAUUUAAAUACUUUGUGCCUCACUAUCCCUUAAUAUGUUAAAAAUUAAAAUAAUUUUACUACUAAUAACAAUAAAUUAUUUAGUUCAUGCUACA